CCUACGGGUGGCUGCAGUGGGGAAUAUUGGACAAUGGGGGCAACCCUGAUCCAGCCAUGCCGCGUGUGUGAAGAAGGCCCUCGGGUUGUAAAGCACUUUCAGUGAGGAAGAACGCCUGGUGGUUAAUACCCAUCAGGAAAGACAUCACUCACAGAAGAAGCACUGGCUAACUCCGUGCCAGCAGCCGCGGUAAUACGGAGGGUGCGAGCGUUAAUCGGAAUUACUGGGCGUAAAGCGCGCGUAGGUGGCUUGAUAAGCCGGUUGUGAAAGCCCCGGGCUCAACCUGGGAACGGCAUCCGGAACUGUCAAGCUAGAGUGCAGGAGAGGAAGGUAGAAUUCCCGGUGUAGCGGUGAAAUGCGUAGAGAUCGGGAGGAAUACCAGUGGCGAAGGCGGCCUUCUGGACUGACACUGACACUGAGGUGCGAAAGCGUGGGUAGCAAACAGGAUUAGAUCCCCUGUAGUC
RNAcentral lists this ribosomal RNA (464 nucleotides) under Vreelandella stevensii. RNAcentral describes it as "partial 16S ribosomal RNA". It matches the Rfam family "Bacterial small subunit ribosomal RNA", at positions 338 to 795 of the family's 1533-position model. The record is from RNAcentral. Lineage: Bacteria; Pseudomonadati; Pseudomonadota; Gammaproteobacteria; Oceanospirillales; Halomonadaceae.